UAUCAAUUUUGUGCCAUUUAAUUUUAUUCUAUAAAACAUAUUUGGAAUUUAUUUCAAUGCCUAAAGAUAAUUUGUUAUUUUGAAAACUAAAGAAAUGUAAUAUCAGUCUAUUGAAUUAACAUUCACGAUAUAUUUUUUCAUUACAUUUCUUGAAUAUGAAUUGCAAUAAUGACCAUAUUACAUAUAUAAUAUAUAUACAUAUAUAAAAAGUCAUAGUUUAUUAGCAUUACAUUGUUAUAGACUUGUUCAUUCUUGUAAGAUGCUCAACACUCUUAAUUUCUUCUCAUUUGUAAUAAAACUGGAGAUCGCUUACUAAUGACUUAAAAUGAUGAAAGGAAUUGAGAGUUGUUAUUGAUCACAUAUUUUUUAUAUACCAGUGUUUCUUUAGACAAACAUAUGAUCAGCAUGAUCAGGAAAAGUUUUUUGGUAUAUUUAUUAGAUUAUGGAUAAGUCUAGAUUAUGAUUUUCUUAUGACUUUCUUUUCAUCAAUUUACGCUUAUUAUAGUUGCUGAUUUUGUCAAAUUUAUCUUACGACAUACAAUUAGAUUGCAAAAUAUAUUAUUUCUCGAAUUACAUAAAUAUUUACAUUUUUAUCAAAUAUACUAAACAAGUAUCAAAUAUUAUUUUAAUUGAUCGCACAUGUGAAAUAUUCGUACAAUUAAUUAUAUAUAUUUUCAAGUAUAACAAUCUUCUAUUGUGAUUUGUAUUAAAAACAUCUAAAAAAGUCUAAUUUUCAAAUAUCACAAGUGUAAUAAAAAUAGAAAUGAUUGGCUAAAACAUAAAAAAGUUACGGUCUUUUAUAUUGCAAUCUUUUAAAUGUAUAGUGGUUAUUCUUAAAUAGCAUAUUAUAAUAUUUUUAGUCAUAUGGUCUAUUCAUAUUAUAUAAAAAAUAUUUAUAAAUAUUCCACCUGUGCGUGUAGUUUAUUAAAUGCAUUAUAAAAUUUGGAAGAUAUUUACUUUAUUGGGUAGUAGAAAAACAUUUAAUCUUGCCUCGAGUAUCUUUUUAAUGGAUUAUAAAAGAUUUUUUUUUUUUAUUUGUUUAAUUAUUCAGUUACAAAUGAAAGUUGUGGUUAAAAUUCGUUUUGUUCAUGUAUUGCUUCUAUUAUUUUGAAAUAAAAUUUAAAUUGAAAUAUCGUUGAUCAGGCAAAGAAUUAGUAAAACUUAUUAUUUUUAAUACGACACAUAUUUAAGAAAAUAAACGUAUUGAAAAUAAAUGUAAGUGAGGUACAAAAUAUUUUUGCACAAAAAUUAUUAUUAACAAACAAAUACAACAAUAUUAUAAUUAUGAAUCUAAGAAUAUUGUAUUACAUUUGUAUUACAUGUUCAUAUGCUAUGGAACUGAAAAGAAAUUUCUUGAUGAAGUAUAAGCGCCAAUUAAUAUUUUUAUCGAUAUAACAACGAAUUGUAUUCCCUGCAAUUUUUCUUCUCAAUAUGAACAGUAUUUUCUUAUUUUUUUUAACGUUCUAAUAAAAGAAGAAACAAUUUAUCAACAAUCGUAAAAUAAAAAUUGAUCAACAAUAUUGUUUAGUUAUAUGAAAGAUUGCAAGGAAAGUGAACAAAAGUCUGUUAAUUCGGGACUUGUUUAACAAAGUUCUUGCCAUAUUAAUUCUUGCGCAUAAUAUCUGUCCGAAUAACGUGCCUUUGCCUAGAAAUGAUCGUGAAGUACAUCUCCUGAUAUGUGAGAAAAAGUCCAUUAAUAUUUUUGUAAUUAUUUGUCUUGCACUCGAAGUGCGUUCUCAUAACUAAUUAUGAAUGCUCUGGUAGCACUUCAUACAAGUUUUAAUUUAUAUUAUAUUCUUAAGAUUUUAGCAUCAUUUUGAUAUCAUUACACUCAUAAACAAAAGAAAAAAAUGUGAAAUUGAUUAAUGCGACGUAAAUUUUAUGUAUAAAAAUGAUCAUGGAAUAUUUUAUUAAAAAAAAUUAGGCAAUUCUUUCCAUUAUUCAACAUUAUAUGAAGUUUGUAUAGUAUAAAGGUCAACAUUUGAUUGUGAUUUGAAUGUCAAAUUAUAGUAGUCUAUUCUUUUAUAAAUUGUUGACAUGUCUGCUGAAAGUCUUAAUAUUUUAAAUAUUUCGAUAAUUUAUGGUUGUCGAAUGAUUCCACAAAUCAUUUUGGAUCUAAGUGUAUUCUUCGACAAAAAUGGAAGAAAUUCCGCUCGUUUCGGAGCAUUGUAAAUAUUAUUGAUAGGUAUACUGUGUAAGUGUAGCAUAGUGCAGAUAAUGUUUUUUAUUACACGCGUAAGAAUAUUGUAAUACUUGUAAUGUUGCGUAUAGUCGUUACUAUUUAUAUAAUUCUGUAAUUGUAAUUGAUUGUAUAAAUUUACUCUUUAUUAUAUAAACUGAAAAUUAA
This is a long non-coding RNA of Frieseomelitta varia, 2347 nucleotides long. RefSeq lists it as uncharacterized. NCBI's taxonomy places the organism in Eukaryota, Metazoa, Arthropoda, Insecta, Hymenoptera, Apidae. The record is from RefSeq and is a predicted model, not a curated record. The transcript has 2 exons.